RNAcentral lists this ribosomal RNA (237 nucleotides) under uncultured bacterium. Its description in RNAcentral is "partial 16S ribosomal RNA". It matches the Rfam family "Bacterial small subunit ribosomal RNA", at positions 1263 to 1500 of the family's 1533-position model. The record is from RNAcentral.
UGGAGCAAAUCCCUAAAAGCCAUCCCAGUUCGGAUUGCAGGCUGCAACCCGCCUGUAUGAAGUUGGAAUCGCUAGUAAUCGCGGAUCAGCAUGCCGCGGUGAAUACGUUCCCGGGCCUUGUACACACCGCCCGUCACACCAUGAGAGUCGGGAACACCCGAAGUCCGUAGUCUAACCGCAAGGGGGACGCGGCCGAAGGUGGGUUCGAUAAUUGGGGUGAAGUCGUAACAAGGUACC